CCUACGGGAGGCAGCAGUGAGGAAUAUUGGUCAAUGGCCGCAGGGCUGAACCAGCCAAGUCGCGUGAGGGAUGACGGUCCUAUGGAUUGUAAACCUCUUUUGUCAGGGAGCAAAGGGCGCCACGUGUGGCGCUUUGCGAGUACCUGAAGAAAAAGCAUCGGCUAACUCCGUGCCAGCAGCCGCGGUAAUACGGAGGAUGCGAGCGUUAUCCGGAUUUAUUGGGUUUAAGGGGUGCGCAGGCGGAAUGUCAAGUCAGCGGUAAAAUUUCGGGGCUCAACCCCGUCGUGCCGUUGAAACUGGCGUUCUUGAGUGAGCGAGAGGUAUGCGGAAUGCGUGGUGUAGCGGUGAAAUGCAUAGAUAUCACGCAGAACUCCGAUUGCGAAGGCAGCAUACCGGCGCUCAACUGACGCUCAUGCACGAAAGCGUGGGUAUCGAACAGGAUUAGAUACCCCUGUAGUC
This 459-nucleotide ribosomal RNA is filed under the name uncultured bacterium. RNAcentral describes it as "partial 16S ribosomal RNA". It matches the Rfam family "Bacterial small subunit ribosomal RNA", at positions 338 to 795 of the family's 1533-position model. The record is from RNAcentral.